Gossypium arboreum is the source of this 615-nucleotide long non-coding RNA. RefSeq lists it as uncharacterized. The record is from RefSeq and is a predicted model, not a curated record. The transcript is spliced from 4 exons. Lineage: Eukaryota; Viridiplantae; Streptophyta; Magnoliopsida; Malvales; Malvaceae.
AACAGGUAGUCGAUAAGCACUAAAACUGAUUUUUCACAGUUUUCUUCUUCUAUUUCAGAAGCAACACCGAAGACUAUUCUGGACCUGAUGGAUUUAGAUGGACUCAAUCUUUACCACGUUAAGAGUCAUUUACAAGAAUUACUUGAGUUAGGGGAGAGUGUUGGAACACAAAGUCGGGGUCUCACCCAAGAACUUAUUUCAUUGCUACCUGUUUCAAAAUACAAGUGCAGCUUAUUCUUAAGGAAGAAAUCAAGGAAAGAGAGGAAAAACCAACUACACUAGAUUGCGGUCCAAGAACAAUUUGCAGAAGGCACAUAAUGGCUGGCUCCUACCUCUACAAAUGCAUGUGGGAGGCAUUGCAGCAGCGAAUAAGAAUGAUAUUGAUCAACAUGCAGUUGACACCGUAUGUGCUCUGAAUUCAAAUUCAGGUGUGAGUUUCAGAUAUUUUAUGUGCAAAAAAGUAUUAGAGUGCCUUAUGUUUGUAUGUUAGUUAAGCAGAUUAUAGAUAGAAUCUGCAGUAGGAUUACCUAAUUAGUUGAUUAAAAACUACACCUAGUUUUGUAAUAGUCUACUUGCAUAUUUGCAUAUAUUUAAUAAUAAUCUCGUGUCAACUAA